GACAGAGGGUGCAAACGUUGUUCGGAAUUACUGGGCGUAAAGCGCGUGUAGGCGGCUUUGCAAGUCGGGCGUGAAAUCCCACGGCUCAACCGUGGAAGUGCACUCGAAACUGCAGAGCUAGAGUCCUGGAGAGGAAGGUGGAAUGCUUGGUGUAGAGGUGAAAUUCGUAGAUAUUCGCAAGAACACCAGUGGCGAAGGCGGCUCACUGGCCCGGAACUGACGCUGAGGUGCGAAAGCGUGGGGAGCAAACAGG
RNAcentral lists this ribosomal RNA (253 nucleotides) under uncultured bacterium. Its description in RNAcentral is "partial 16S ribosomal RNA". It matches the Rfam family "Bacterial small subunit ribosomal RNA", at positions 524 to 776 of the family's 1533-position model. The record is from RNAcentral.